GUUGAAAAUCUUCUUUUCUCUCAAGACACUCUUAGAAAAGAAGAACAUAGGGGGAUCUUAAUCUCUACGCUAGAGAUCAUGAGAAGAACUCUUUUUUCUCUUUUCUUCUUACAAUUCAUGCACCAAAUCUCUACGAUAGAGAUGUAAAAUUUUUAUCCAACUUUUAGAUAAAAAAGAGAGGAGACAUCCAUGUCCCAACAUAGACAAA
RNAcentral lists this long non-coding RNA (208 nucleotides) under Elaeis guineensis (African oil palm). Its description in RNAcentral is "long non-coding RNA (EGUI_LNC072459)". Lineage: Eukaryota; Viridiplantae; Streptophyta; Magnoliopsida; Arecales; Arecaceae. The record is from RNAcentral.